Molecule: long non-coding RNA, 1000 nt
Filed under: Heterocephalus glaber (naked mole-rat)
Lineage: Eukaryota; Metazoa; Chordata; Mammalia; Rodentia; Bathyergidae
Description: lncRNA (ENSHGLG00100048622.1)
Source: RNAcentral
CUUUGAUUUUAACAAUAAAUAAUAAAACAAAAUUGAAUAAACAUUAUAAGAGAAAAAAAACCCUGCUUGUUUAGAAGUGUUUUGAAACUUGAAUUAUCUAAAUAAACUGUGUUGCUUCUAAUUUCAGAUGGUUUUUUUCUCCUUGUGUUCUUGAAAAAUGAGAAAAAGACUAGCUGAAGUGGUAUAUACCUGUAAAAUCCCAGCUACUCUGGAGGCUGAGGCAGGAGGAUUGCAAGUUUAAGGCCAGCCUAGGCAACUUAGGCCCUGUCUCAAAAAGUAAAAAGUGCUGCAGAUGUACAUAGCUCAGUGGGAGAGUGCACCUGUGUUUAAUCUCCAGGGCCGAAGGAAGGAAAACGAGAAAAAUAUGAAUAGUCCUUGGUUCACACAGUCAUUAUAUGUAAAACAAGCCACAAAGAAUUGCUUUCAUCAGGUAAGGAAAUAAAGUUCCAGAGUACUCCUUCCACACUCUAUCUGCCUUUGCUUUAUCCUGCUUCCUCCUUUCCUCUCACAUUUUUUUUUUCUUUUGUGGUAGUUCUGGGGAUCAAAUCCAAGGGCAAUCUACCACUGAGCUACAUCCGCACCCUUUUUAUUUUUUAUUUUGAGACAGGGUCUCUUGUUAAGUUGUUCAAGUGUGACAGAUUUUCAAUCCUCCUGCCUCAGCCUCUCAAAGAGCUGCAAUUAUAGGUGUCCCCUCAUUCUUAAAAAUGUCAUUACUGCCUGGAGUUUUAUAUGACAAGCCAAAGACCUUAGGUAGUUCUCAUUCCAGUCAAGCAAGAGAGCAAUAGACAUAUAAAUAAAUAAUCUCACAUCAGGAAAAGUGAUACACUGAAGAAGAAACUAAGAACAAAUUACAGAUAUUCCUCAUUUAACAACCUACCUGUUUAUAAAGACUGUUCAGAUUUAUGCUUCACCACUUGGACUUGUCGCCCAUCUCUUUUUUUUUUAAGUACACUUCUGAAUAUCUUGUUUAGAGCCUCAGUGUCUUUUUUGUACAGUACAC